RNAcentral lists this long non-coding RNA (281 nucleotides) under Lathyrus oleraceus (garden pea). RNAcentral describes it as "Pisum sativum (pea) long non-coding RNA (PSAT_LNC005216)". The record is from RNAcentral. Lineage: Eukaryota; Viridiplantae; Streptophyta; Magnoliopsida; Fabales; Fabaceae.
AAAGAUCUAACCAAGAGAUAGAAAGCUUUAUGACAUAAGUCAAGCGAGAAUUCCCUCCUUUGGAUUAAUCCUCAAGCAAACCAAAAUAAGAAAAUAAUAAUCCAUGUAUCAGAUGAAACCAAAGUAACCAAGCCGAGUCUUCAUAGAGAAGUCCAAAGUCAUAAGUAUCAGAUGAAUUCCAAGGUCUCAAGUCUCAAGUCCCAAAAAGGUCCAGAUCCUAAUUCUAAGUUCAUAACUCCAUAAUGAUGCCAAGGAUAGUAACCACAAGUCCAUGAGUUAGG